GCGGACGUGGCGGAAUUGGUAGACGCACCAGAUUUAGGUUCUGGCGCCCAUGGCGUGAGAGUUCGAGUCUCUCCGUCCGCACCA
RNAcentral lists this transfer RNA (84 nucleotides) under Zoogloea ramigera. RNAcentral describes it as "tRNA-Leu". It matches the Rfam family "tRNA". From Rfam's summary of the family: Transfer RNA (tRNA) molecules are approximately 80 nucleotides in length. RNAcentral also lists the same sequence under 1 other name. The record is from RNAcentral. Lineage: Bacteria; Pseudomonadati; Pseudomonadota; Betaproteobacteria; Rhodocyclales; Zoogloeaceae.